Molecule: RNA transcript, 3481 nt
Organism: Syzygium oleosum
Lineage: Eukaryota; Viridiplantae; Streptophyta; Magnoliopsida; Myrtales; Myrtaceae
Gene name: coatomer subunit beta'-2-like
Exons: 26
Source: RefSeq, a predicted model, not a curated record
AAGCUGAGCUCCCUCCCUCCCGAAAUCCGAAGCGCGCGCACAAGAAGGAGGAGGUGAUUCCGGCGGCCGUCAAGAUCGCCAUUGGUCGGGGGGCUUCGAUCUCCGGCGCUCGCCGACGGUGAUUUCGAGCGGCGAUCUCCACCGGCGGAAAAAUGCCGCUCAGAUUGGAAAUCAAGAGGAAGUUUAUUCAACGAUCAGAGAGAGUGAAGUCUGUAGACCUGCAUCCAACAGAACCAUGGAUCCUAGCAAGUUUGUAUGCGGGAACUGUUUGUAUAUGGGAUUACCAGUCACAGACAAUGGUUAAGUCCUUUGAAGUCACUGAUCUGCCAGUUAGGUCAGCAAAAUUUAUUGCACGCAAGCAAUGGGUUGUCGCUGGAGCUGAUGACAUGUUCAUUCGUGUAUACAACUACAACACCAUGGACAAAGUUAAAGUUUUUGAGGCCCACACAGACUACAUUCGAUCCGUGGCUGUCCAUCCCACACUCCCCUACUUGCUCUCAUCAUCCGAUGACAUGCUUAUUAAACUUUGGGAUUGGGAGAAGGGUUGGGUUUGUACUCAGAUAUUUGAGGGACACUCACAUUAUGUGAUGCAAGUCACUUUUAAUCCAAAAGACACAAAUACGUUCGCAAGUGCAUCACUUGAUCGCACGAUAAAGAUUUGGAAUCUCGGCUCUCCUGAUCCAAAUUUCACGUUAGAUGCCCAUCAAAAAGGAGUUAAUUGUGUAGAUUAUUUCACAGGUGGUGAUAAACCAUUUCUUAUCACUGGAGCUGAUGAUCAUACUGCUAAGGUGUGGGACUAUCAAACCAAGAGCUGUGUCCAGACAUUGGAAGGUCACACACACAAUGUCUCAGCUGUCUCUUUUCAUCCGGAUCUGCCCAUCGUAAUUACUGGCUCAGAGGAUGGUACCGUGCGAAUAUGGCAUUCUACUACUUAUAGGCUGGAGAAUACAUUGAAUUACGGUCUUGAAAGAGUCUGGGCUAUCGGCUACAUGAAAAGUUCAAGAAGAGUUGUGAUCGGUUAUGAUGAAGGAACCAUUAUGGUCAAACUUGGUCGUGAAGUGCCUGUAGCUAGCAUGGACAGUAGCGGAAAAAUCAUCUGGGCUAAGCAUAAUGAGAUUCAAACUGUAAACAUUAAGAGCGUCGGAGCAGGUUUUGAGGUUACUGAUGGCGAAAGGUUGCCAUUGGCUGUUAAGGAGUUGGGAACCUGUGAUCUUUACCCCCAAAGCUUAAAGCACAAUCCAAAUGGGAGGUUUGUUGUAGUCUGCGGAGAUGGUGAGUACAUUAUAUAUACUGCAUUGGCAUGGAGGAACCGCUCUUUCGGUUCAGCACUUGAAUUUGUUUGGUCUUCUGAUGGGGAAUAUGCUGUCAAGGAAAGUACCUCAAAAAUCAAAAUCUUCAGUAAAAAUUUCCAGGAGAAAAAGAGUAUUCGACCAACCUAUUUGGCUGAACAUAUCUAUGGCGGCACUCUGUUGGCCAUGUGCUCAAAUGACUUCAUUUGCUUCUAUGAUUGGGUUGAAUGCAGGUUGAUUCGAAGAAUUGAUGUCAAUGUGAAAAACCUAUAUUGGGCUGAUAGUGGUGAUUUAGUGGCAAUUGCCAGUGAUGCAUCUUUCUACAUCCUCAAGUAUAAUCGUGACGUAGUUGUGUCUUAUUUGGAGAGCGGAAAAGCAGAAGAUGAACAAGGAGUAGAGGAUGCUUUUGAACUUCUCCAUGAAACCAAUGAGCGUGUCAAGACCGGUAUCUGGGUUGGUGAUUGUUUCAUUUACAACAACUCUUCUUGGAGGCUCAAUUACUGUGUAGGUGGGGAGGUGACUACAAUGUUCCAUUUGGACCGGCCUAUGUACUUGUUGGGAUAUCUUGCCAAUCAAAGCCGGGUAUACCUAAUUGAUAAAGAAUUCAAUGUUAUGGGGUAUACAUUACUUCUCAGCUUGAUAGAAUACAAAACUCUGGUUAUGCGUGGAGAUCUGGAAAGGGCCAAUGCACUUUUACCUUCGAUUCCUCAAGAGCAUCAUAAUAGUGUGGCUCGUUUCUUGGAAGCACGAGGUAUGAUAGAGGAUGCACUUGAAGUGGCUACGGACCCGGAUUACAGGUUUGAAUUAGCCAUACAGCUUGGGAGGUUGGGGAUUGCAAAGGAAAUUGCAAUGGAAGUGCGGAGCGAGUCUAAAUGGAAGCAGCUGGGAGAAUUAGCUAUGUCGAGUGGAAAGUUGGAAAUGGCUGAAGAAUGUAUGAAACAGGCUAUGGAUUUGAGUGGCUUGUUACUGCUCUAUUCUUCCUUAGGUGAUGCUGAAGGAAUCUCGAGACUUGCAUCCCUUGCUAAAGAGCAAGGAAAGAAUAAUGUUGCAUUCCUCUGUUUAUAUAUGUUGGGUAAAUUAGAAGACUGUCUCCAGCUGUUGGUGGAUACCAAUCGCAUACCUGAGGCUGCUUUGAUGGCACGAUCUUAUCUACCAAGCAAAGUUUCAGAGAUUACUGCAAUCUGGAGAAAGGACCUCCACAAGGUAAAUCCACAAGCUGCAGAAUCUUUGGCUGACCCUGAAGAAUAUCCAAAUUUAUUUGACGAUUGGCUAGUGGCUCUUUCUGUUGAAUCUAAGGUUGCUGGGACAAGGGGUGUUUAUCCUCCUGCGGAAGAAUACGCAAAGUACUCUGAUAGAUCGCACAAUAAUCUUGUUGAGGCUUUCAGAAGCAUGCAAGCUGAGGAAGAGAAUGUAACUCUUGAAAAUGGUGACCAGAGUCACAAGGCUGAUGAACAAAAUGGAGAGGAAGAGGAUGCCGAAGAAGAAAGCCAGGAGGAGGGUGUAGUGGCGGAUGCUAAUUCUACUGAUGGUGCCAGACUCACUAAUGGCAACGAAGCUGAAGAAGAGUUGGGUGUGAAUGAUGAAGGAACCCCACCGGCCUGAAAGGCAAUUGUGGGGCCAGUGUGCAUAUCCAAAUUUUGUCUGAUGUUCAUAUGCAAUACCACCGAGAGUGACUCGAGAGAACCAAGUCGAAAUUUUGUUAAUUCUCUUUCAAGGUAGCUUAAGAGAUCACCGGGAUCCGUUGCCUCCAUUUCCUGGUGUUUACCAAUUCAGUGAGUUGUUUUUUUUUUCCAUUAUUUUGGGAAAUUUAUAAUGUAAUAAUUGCCAUAGAGAAAGUAGUGCAAAACCUCCUUUGUCUAGUUGUUCUUUCGCCUUUCUUCGGCUAAGUUUUCGAGGCCUUUCCACCUUUGCUCCAUAAGGUUGAGCAAUUGAGAAUAUUGCUUCGUUGUAAGUAGAGACUUUCAGGCUUACAUGUUCCAACUCCCCAGGUUUUUGGUAUGGAGGGGAUGAGAAAUCUUGAGAUCACGUAGACAGAUUUCCUCUACACGAUUUGAUGGACUGGCGUAGCUUCUUUUUGAUAUGCUUCAAGUAUUUUAUGAUUGGGUGUGAAAACUGUUCAAGGUAUGGCUACUGAGGUGGUGCCGAAUUUUGCGCAGAGGCAAUGACAUGGGCACAGGUUAAUUAGUUUGUAA